CACAUUCAGAGGGCAUUGCCUCAUUAACGAAAAAAAACUAGUCUUAGACUAGAGGCUGUUCUGGCCUUGAAUAACAAAGCUUAAAAAGUAAGCUCAAAUUUGCAUGAAAAUGCAAAGGAUCUGUGCUAGCUAAAACAACAUUGAAAAAGAAUAUCAGAGAACAUAUACCAUCUGAUUUCAAGAUGUAGUGUAAGGUAACAGAUGUGAAUGAGAAAUUUACCAGAGAGAUAGAUAUUAUUAAAAAGAACCAAACACAAAUUCUGGAACUAAUGAAAUCAUUAAACAAAAUGUAAAAUACAUUGGAAAGCUUCAACAAUAGACUAGAUUAAUCAGAAUAAAAACAUUUCAGAACUUGAAGACAGAUCUUUUGAAAUAACCCAGUCAGGCAAAACUAAAGAAAAAAAACGAAUUAAAAAGAAUGAACAAAGCUUAUGUGGUAUAUGUGACACCAUAACGUGAAAAAAUAUUUGAAUUUUUGAUGUCCCAAAAGGUGAAGAAAAAACAAAAGGGAUAGAAAACCUAUUUAACAAAGUAAUGAUGAAAACUCUCCAAGUCUAGCAAGAAAUUUAGACAUCCAGAUACAGGAGGCCCGGUGACCCCUAAAUAGAUACAAUGCAAAAAGGUCUUCUUCAUGACACAUUAUAGUCAAAUUGUCUAAAGUCAAUGACAAAGAGAAAAUUCUAAAAACAGCAAGAGAAAAGGGUCUAGUCACUAAUAAAGGAGCUUUCAUCAAACUAACAGCAGACUUCUCAGGAGAAACCUUACAGGUGAGGAAAGAAUGGGAUCACAUAGUCAAAGUGCUGAAAGAAAAACACUGCCACACAACAAUAUUGUAGCAGUACAAUUAUCCUUCACAAAUGAAGGACAAAUAAAAAUUUUCCCAGAUAAGCAAAUGCUGAGGGAAUUCACCACCACUAGUCCAGCCUUAUAAGAAAUGCUCAAGGGAGUCCUAAACCUGGAAGUGAAGGGUGACAUAUACCAUCUUGAAAACACAUAAAAAUAUAACAUUCACUGGUAAAGCAAGUACACAAAUGAGGAAGAGAAAAGACUCAAAUGGUACCACCACAGAAAAUCAGCAAACCACAAAGAUAAUCAAUAAGAGAAAAAGAAAGGAAUAAAAAUACACAAAACAACCAGACAACAAUUAACAAUAUGAUAGGAACAAAACCUCACAUAUCAACAAUAACCCUUAGUGUAAAUGGAUGAAAUUCUCCACUAAAAAGACAUAAACUGGCUGAAUGAUUUAAAAUACAUGAUCCAAGUGUAUGCUACCUACAAAAAACAUAGACUUUACCUAAACAGUCACAUAUAGACCAAAAGUAAAGGGAUAGAAACAUAUUUCAUGCAAACAGAAACCAAAAGUGAGGAGUAGCUUUACUUAUGUCUGAUAAAACAGGUUUAAGUCAAAAGAAUAGAAAAAGUUCAUGAUAAAGGAAACAAUCCAGCAAGAGAAUAUGACAAUCCUAAAUAUUUAUGUACCCGACACUAGAGCAUUCAGAUUCAUAAAGAAAAUAUUACUAGAUCUAAAGAAAGAGAUAGACUCUAAAACAAAAAUAGUGGAGGAGUUCAGCCCUCUACUAUUAGCAUUAGACAGAUGAGCUAGACAGAAAGUCAACAAAGAAAUAUUGAAUUGAAACUGCAUAUUAGACCAAAUGGAUAUAACAGAUAUUUACAGAACAUUUCAUCCACCAGCUACAGAGUACACAUUCUUCUCAUUAGCACACGGAACAUUCUCAAAGAUGAACCAUGUGUUAAGACACAAAACAAAUCUCAACAAAUUUUUAAAAAUCAAAAUCAUAUCAAGUAUUGUCUCAGACUAUAGUGACCUAGAAAUCAAUAUUAAGAGGAAAUUUGGAGACUGUACAAAUACAUAGAAAUUAAACAACAUGCUCCUGAAUAACCCCUUUUUCAAGGAGGAAUAAAGAAGAAAGUCAAAUAAUUUCUUGAAACAAAUGACAAUUGAAACACAACAUACCAAAACCUAUGGGAUACUGCAAAAGCAGUGUUGAGAAGGAAGCUUAUAGCAAUAAACAUGUACAU
RNAcentral lists this long non-coding RNA (2040 nucleotides) under Homo sapiens (human). Its description in RNAcentral is "non-protein coding lnc-CXCL14-2:1". The record is from RNAcentral. Lineage: Eukaryota; Metazoa; Chordata; Mammalia; Primates; Hominidae.